UACGUAGGGGGCAAGCGUUAUCCGGAUUUACUGGGUGUAAAGGGAGCGUAGACGGCAUGGCAAGCCAGAUGUGAAAUACCGGGGCUCAACCCCGGGACUGCAUUUGGAACUGUUAAGCUGGAGUGUCGGAGAGGCAGGCGGAAUUCCUAGUGUAGCGGUGAAAUGCGUAGAUAUUAGGAGGAACACCGGUGGCGAAAGCGGCUCUCUGGCCUGUAACUGACACUGAGGCUCGAAAGCGUGGGGAGCAAACAGG
RNAcentral lists this ribosomal RNA (253 nucleotides) under uncultured bacterium. RNAcentral describes it as "partial 16S ribosomal RNA". It matches the Rfam family "Bacterial small subunit ribosomal RNA", at positions 524 to 776 of the family's 1533-position model. The record is from RNAcentral.